This 77-nucleotide transfer RNA is filed under the name Roseibacillus sp. TMED18. RNAcentral describes it as "tRNA-Arg". It matches the Rfam family "tRNA". From Rfam's summary of the family: Transfer RNA (tRNA) molecules are approximately 80 nucleotides in length. Their secondary structure includes four short double-helical elements and three loops (D, anti-codon, and T loops). The record is from RNAcentral. RNAcentral also lists the same sequence under 6 other names. Lineage: Bacteria; Pseudomonadati; Verrucomicrobiota; Verrucomicrobiia; Verrucomicrobiales; Verrucomicrobiaceae.
GCGCCCGUAGCUCAAUUGGAUAGAGCGCCUGACUACGGAUCAGGAGGUUAGGGGUUCGACUCCUCUCGGGCGCGCCA